CAUAGAAGCCGGUUUGGUGCAGUGUUAUUUAAAAUGAGACCGCAUGGGCGUAGGCUUGUCUCCCCGCAGGCUCUUAGGAUUUGUGUGGGUCCCGUUUAGACGAAAAUAUUAUGUAGAUUGUGCUGGCUGUGUGGGCUCUUUAGCCUACUCUCCAAAAUAUAUGUCCAAUGUCAUUUUGGCUACAAUGCCGAGUUUAACAGCCAAAAUAUUUUUUUAUCCUGUUGGGAUGAUUUACAUUUUUACAUGAUCGUGGAAGACGUGUGCUCUUGAUAAGGCAUGCAAUGUGAAGAGCAUCUGAACAUACUUCAGUUUAUCGGGCCGAGCACGCACGAGCCAGCAGGUGCCAUGGAGUCGCAUCUCUCUGCCACCGCAUAUCUCGUCCUAGCAUUGGUCUCCACAACAUCUGGGUUCUUCUGGACUCCCCGAGGUCCUCAGAUGUACCCAUGCCUCACCUACAUGGAGCGCAACCUGCGGGUAGACUGUGAGUUCCCUGUGGAAGACAACCCUGCACACCUAGGCCCCUACUGCGAGUACAAGCAGGACAGCCGACUGGUGGGCAGCACCUACCCCAACGCUGUGUCCCUGGUGUCCACAGACAACCGAAGGAGGGCCAACGUGAGCCUGGUCAACCCCACCGUGUGUCGUCUUACCUGGGCUCCGAUGGCGGACGAUAAGCCCUACACCUACACCUGCAGGGUGUACCAGGGGUCUACCUGGAAGGAGAACAGCAUGGCUGUACACCAGCGUGAGUCAUCAUGGGUACAGGGAUGAGCAGGAGGAAGGACAACUGAGAUAGGAGUGGGGAGGGGAGUCAAUAUAGUUGAUGGUGCAAACAUAUACAAACAUAAAUGAUUGCAAAAAAUGCAAACAUAUACAGCAUUGGAGUUGUUCAGUGGGUUGCCCAAAGAUAUUAAUUUACUCAAUCAAAUAAGCAGUAGGGUAGACAAGAAUUAUGACAAGAAUUAUGAAAGUAUUUCCAAGCAAAAUUCUCUUUGUGGAUCUCUUUGUGUAUAUGUAGACCUAUUUGUUCUUGUGUUAUUGCACAUCCAUACAGAUGAAGUGUGCAUUUCGAAAGACAUUUGAGUAAUUUUAGUCUGGAAAAUAAGUAUGAAAUCAAAAACUAGUACCUAAGUAUAAUUGAAAGAGAAGUGUGAUGACAUGAUCUUUCAAUAAUGACUUGAUGUAGUAGACAAUAUUAGCAUUUUUCUAAAUGCAAUUUUAUUUGUUGCAAGGGUUUGUUUGUUGUGUUUGUGUACAAGUGUUUAAAUCUGAUGGUCUGUUUUUGUCUGUCUAGGAAUUCUUCCAAUCUGUUCAGCCCUCAGCGUGAUGUUCCAUACUGGGCUAUUUCUUCUGUCCCUUGUGAUGUCACUUCCUGUAACUAUGGGUCUCCUCUCUCCCUGAUCUCCUUUCAAUGUACAGAUAGCUAGAUGUUGUUACAUGUUUUUAAACAGAUUUUCAUAUCAUUAUUAUAGUACACAAUAAUAACUACAAUUUAUUGAGAUCAUAGUCAAUGUGUAAUGAAACAGUGGUACGUUGGAGGCUGUGGCUCCAUAUUCACUGUUUUCUGACCACUUCAAUGAUCACUUUAAAAACUGAUCCAUCAGACUAGAUCUUAUUCUGUAUUAUCUAUUCUCUAUACUUUAGGCUUUGCUUUUGGAGUAUCAGGUGAGAAUCCUGUCAAAACAAUUUCUUUAUAUCAGUCAAACUUUCAGAACGUCCAGACUUUCAGGCUCUCAUCAGCCCUUUGGCUCAGGGAUGCUAGUACUGGAAUGGGUGGUCAUGUCCUAAAGAGAUUCACAAUGGCUAUGUUUACACAGGCAGACCAAUUUUGAUAUUUUUCCACUAAUCGUUUUUUUAAACAAUCAGAUUAGUUAAAAGCAGCCUUUGUGUAAAAGCAGCCUUUUUUUGGGGGGGGGGUAUAUUUUACAAUAGUUAUCUUGUUAUUUUUAGAACCACCCUUCAGCUUCAUUCAACCCCUCCCAUCUAUCUCUGAAAACCCUCAGGUUUUUUGCAGAGUUAGCUCCAGGUAAACGUUGCAAUUCUUCAGUACCAAAACAAAUGAUCUAAUGAUUCUGUUUCUUCACAGCAAAAUCUGCAGAGCUGGGAUGGUUGUAUAAUCAUUUAAAUUAUUUAACUAAGUUUUGAAUCCAGCAUCAUUUUAUGUAUCAGUUCAUGAACCAUGAAUUCAUUAGGCCUAUGGAUUUUACAUGUCUGGGCAGGUGCACAGCCAUGGGUGGGUGGGAGCCUUUUAUUGUCCCCAGCACAAUGUGCACCUGUGUAAUGAUCAUGCUGUUUAAUCAGCUUCUUGAUAUGCCACACCUGUCAAGUGGAUGGAUUAUCUUGGCAAAGGAGAAAUGCUCACUAAUAGGAAUGUAAACACAUUUGUGCACAACAUUUGAGAGAAAUAAGCUUUUUGUGCAUAUGGAACAUAUUAGAUCUUUUAUUUCAGAUAAUGAAACAUGGGACAAACAUUUUACAUGUUGCUUUUAUAUAUUUGUUCAGUGUAUAUAGCACAGCUGUAUUGUCACAGUUGACUUGGACUGGUGUAAGGCGGAAUCAGAUGCAGGAGACAGGUGCUGGAGAUGAGUGUCCUUUUAAUAAUUUGACACACAAAACAAAACCGCACAAGGCACAGGGCGCUACAGACAGACUGCCUGGGAAAAACACAUUCCCAAUGAACAAAAUAUAUAUAUAAGUGGCACAAAAAGGCACGGGGCGCAGCCCGGUAAAUCCUCUCUUCGUGAAACUGUCAGAAACAAACCCAUAAUAAAACACGGACCACCGUCCUGAGUAGACAAUGAACAAUCCGACACAAAACCCCAACUGAAAACACACACUAAUAAGGCCCCACUAAUGACAGACACAAAACAGGUGCGGAACAGACAGACGAAACCAAAAGACACAGAACCAACGAUCGGUGGCAGCUAAUAGGCCGGCGACGACGACCGCCGAGCACCGCCCGACCGAGGAGGGGCGCCACUUUCGUUGGAUCCUGUGACAUGUAUAUUUUUUGCUCCGUAAAUGAAACUGGCAUACUUUUUUUAUUCAUCACAAUUUUCAUUAACCAAUUUUGGUCUUUAAUGAAGGGGCGACAGACAAGUUUGCAAACGCAGCCUUUGUGAAUCUCUUUAGGACAUGAUCACCCAUUCCCAUAGUAGCAUCCCUGUAGCAUUGAGGAGAUAGUGGGGGGUGAAAAGUAAGGCCAACACUACCGUAUCAGAGUGUGUAUUUGGCUCACAGCCCCUGAUUCUGGGGCACUUAAAGCUGCAAUAUUGUAUGUAACUUUUUGGUUGACCCAACCAAAUUCACAUUGAAAUGUGAUAUGUCAUUCUCAUUAAAAGUCUUAAGAAACUGUGGAUCUGUUCUAUGUGCGCUAUGUCUAUGCUUUCCGUGCUUAAGUUUCUUUUUGUAUCUUUUAUGUUUGGUUUUGUACACCAGCUAUAAAGAGCUGGUUAUACGUUGUUUUUGUACUUGAAAAAAAUUAGGGCAACUAUUAUAAUUUUAGUAACUAGGAAAUGGCAGAGUGAUUUCUGCCUAUUGCAUCAUUAAGGAUUUCCUCUGAAUUACCAUUAAGAUAAUGGAUGAAAUGGAAAUGAUUGGCUAUGGAAUGACUAAGAUAUUUACAUGUCAGGUGGUAUAUGUUGUAACUAUUCAAUAAUUGGUUAAUGAUCAACUCUUGCCUUUUAUUUCAAUCUCAAAGUAUUUAGAAACCUUUCAUGGAUGCAAAGAAAUCUGACGCUCUCUUUAGUUUGAAAGUUUUGUUUACAUUUUGUCAUUCCCAUAUGUUCUUGUAGAUUUCAUACAGUAGAAGCUUGAGCUUAGCUAAAUUGUAUAUCAAAGGAAACAUUACACUUAGUGAUAUCCCCUGUAUUGCAUAAUUACCGAUUGCUGAUUAGCCAUUGAAAGUUCAAGACAUGUCAGGACUGUGUUAAAUGUUUUGAUACUCAGCUUCACAUGGCACAUUAUUCGUUAUUGUAAUAAUGUAUUAAAUCUAUAGGCAACAAUUAUAUUCAACAUUUUGUAAUGUUAUUUUUAAGAAAAUUAUUAAGUGGAAUUGCUUACAGAUGUAUCUUGCCAAAAAUGAUUGAUCAAAUUGUACUUUCACUGCACCAUAGCAUUAUUUUGGAAAUAAUUAUAUAGGUUAUUACAAGUAAAAGUCUUUCAUAUGCUUUGCAGAUGUAAAAAUUCUUGUAGCAAUUUUUUUUAGGACUCAUCAUGGAGGUCAUUCUAGAUCUUUGUCCUCAAAAACCUCCAAUCACUGUGAAUGAGUUCAGAGUCUAGAAGACCACGCUGAAAUCGAGGCUGUUUUAGGACAAGCCCAAAUGAUAGAAAAGUUAUUUAGAUAAUAAGAUCAGGUGGUGAAUGAAUGAGAUAGUUAUGGUAGUAAAUCAAAUGAACUAACUAAAUGUUUCUGGACAAAAAAACUGACUAACUGAAAUUAGCACUUGGAAAUGGACCAGGGUCUCUGAUACACAUGACCAUCACGUGUCCUGAUAGUCGUUAGUACGUUGAUAGUUUGUUGAUGUUAGUUUAUGGUAUGUGCAGAAUGAAAGAACAUGUAGAUGUGAUAAAUAUGUCUAGUUGAUGAUGUCAUUAGCUGCUUUCAUUCUCUUCCUUUCUCAUUCUAAUGCUCUUAUUGCUCCCACGCACAGCUUACACUGGCACUGCGCUAGCUAUCUGCACAUGCUUCAAGUGCCUAGGCUUUUUGAAUGCUGCGUUAUUGUUCAUAUCGGUAUCUGUGUCCUUGCAGACAAUUCUGCUUCUCUUACACGGCACACCUUACUUAGCAAAUAUCCUAUGUGCUGUACCUUUUUGUUUUUAUCACUGUAAUAAUAGUCUAGUCUUCCAUGCACUGAAAUCUCAUUGUAGUUUGACUGCUUUGCAAAGUGGGAUUUGUGAAUGUGAUGUGUACACAUUAGUUUGCCAAACCAGUGUUUUCUCUCCUUUCUUUCUUG
This 4955-nucleotide long non-coding RNA is filed under the name Salmo salar (Atlantic salmon). RNAcentral describes it as "lncRNA (ENSSSAG00000054659.2)". The record is from RNAcentral. Lineage: Eukaryota; Metazoa; Chordata; Actinopteri; Salmoniformes; Salmonidae.